Molecule: ribosomal RNA, 820 nt
Filed under: Marinilactibacillus piezotolerans
Lineage: Bacteria; Bacillati; Bacillota; Bacilli; Lactobacillales; Carnobacteriaceae
Description: bacterial SSU rRNA
Rfam family: Bacterial small subunit ribosomal RNA
Source: RNAcentral
AGUCGAACGAUGAAAUUCUCUGCUUGCAGAGAAUGGAUUAGUGGCGAACGGGUGAGUAACACGUGGGUAACCUGCCCAUAAGAGGGGGAUAACAUUCGGAAACGGAUGCUAAUACCGCAUAUGUCUUUGAGACGCCUGUCUCUUAGAUGAAAGGUGGCUUCGGCUGCCGCUUAUGGAUGGACCCGCGGCGUAUUAGCUAGUUGGUAAGGUAAUGGCUUACCAAGGCUUUGAUACGUAGCCGACCUGAGAGGGUGAUCGGCCACACUGGGACUGAGACACGGCCCAGACUCCUACGGGAGGCAGCAGUAGGGAAUCUUCCACAAUGGGUGAAAACCUGAUGGAGCAAUACCGCGUGAGUGAAGAAGGUCUUCGGAUCGUAAAGCUCUGUUGUUAGAGAAGAAUAAGUCGGGUAGUAACUGCCCCGACCUUGACGGUAUCUAACCAGAAAGUCACGGCUAACUACGUGCCAGCAGCCGCGGUAAUACGUAGGUGACAAGCGUUGUCCGGAUUUAUUGGGCGUAAAGCGAGCGCAGGCGGUCUUUUAAGUCUGAUGUGAAAGCCCACGGCUCAACCGUGGAAGGUCAUUGGAAACUGGAAGACUUGAAUGCAGAAGAGGAAAGUGGAAUUCCAUGUGUAGCGGUGAAAUGCGUAGAUAUAUGGAGGAACACCAGUGGCGAACGCGACUUUCUGGUCUGUAAUUGACGCUGAGGCUCGAAAGCGUGGGGAGCGAACAGGAUUAGAUACCCUGGUAGUCCACGCCGUAAACGAUGAGUGCUAAGUGUUGGAGGGUUUCCGCCCUUCAGUGCUGGAGCUAACGCAU